This 112-nucleotide ribosomal RNA is filed under the name Acanthosepion pharaonis. The record is from RNAcentral. Lineage: Eukaryota; Metazoa; Mollusca; Cephalopoda; Sepiida; Sepiidae.
UAUGGCCAUAUCAAUUUGAAACACAGGUUCUUGAACGAUCACCGAAGUUAAGCAACGUCGAGCCCGGUCAGUACCUAGAUGGGUGACGGCUUGGAUAUAUCAGGUGCUGUGA